GCGGCGGACGGGUGAGUAAUGCUUAGGAAUCUGCCUAUUAGUGGGGGACAACAUUCCGAAAGGAAUGCUAAUACCGCAUACGCCCUACGGGGGAAAGCAGGGGAUCUUCGGACCUUGCGCUAAUAGACGAGCCUAAGUCAGAUUAGCUAGUUGGUGGGGUAAAGGCCUACCAAGGCGACGAUCUGUAGCGGGUCUGAGAGGAUGAUCCGCCACACUGGGACUGAGACACGGCCCAGACUCCUACGGGAGGCAGCAGUGGGGAAUAUUGGACAAUGGGGGGAACCCUGAUCCAGCCAUGCCGCGUGUGUGAAGAAGGCCUUAUGGUUGUAAAGCACUUUAAGCGAGGAGGAGGCUCUUUUGGUUAAUACCCAAGAUGAGUGGACGUUACUCGCAGAAUAAGCACCGGCUAACUCUGUGCCAGCAGCCGCGGUAAUACAGAGGGUGCAAGCGUUAAUCGGAUUUACUGGGCGUAAAGCGUGUGUA
This 483-nucleotide ribosomal RNA is filed under the name uncultured Acinetobacter sp. Its description in RNAcentral is "bacterial SSU rRNA". It matches the Rfam family "Bacterial small subunit ribosomal RNA", at positions 95 to 573 of the family's 1533-position model. The record is from RNAcentral. Lineage: Bacteria; Pseudomonadati; Pseudomonadota; Gammaproteobacteria; Moraxellales; Moraxellaceae.